CCUACGGGAGGCAGCAGUGGGGAAUAUUGCACAAUGGGCGCAAGCCUGAUGCAGCAACGCCGCGUGAGGGACGACGGCCUUCGGGUUGUAAACCUCUUUUAGUAGGGAAGAAGCGAAAGUGACGGUACCUGCAGAAAAAGCACCGGCUAACUACGUGCCAGCAGCCGCGGUAAUACGUAGGGUGCAAGCGUUAUCCGGAAUUAUUGGGCGUAAAGAGCUCGUAGGCGGUUUGUCACGUCUGCUGUGAAAACUGGAGGCUCAACCUCCAGCCUGCAGUGGGUACGGGCAGACUAGAGUGCGGUAGGGGAGAUUGGAAUUCCUGGUGUAGCGGUGGAAUGCGCAGAUAUCAGGAGGAACACCGAUGGCGAAGGCAGAUCUCUGGGCCGUAACUGACGCUGAGGAGCGAAAGCAUGGGGAGCGAACAGGAUUAGAUACCCUGGUAGUCCAUGCCGUAAACGUUGGGAACUAGAUGUAGGGACCAUUCCACGGUUUCUGUGUCGCAGCUAACGCAUUAAGUUCCCCGCCUGGGGNGGUACGGCCGCGACGGACGUAAACUUAAAAGUAAAGUUAGACGGCGUGAGACGUGCCGACGGACGACGACGAGGGAGGUAGG
This 613-nucleotide ribosomal RNA is filed under the name uncultured bacterium. Its description in RNAcentral is "bacterial SSU rRNA". The stretch from base 1 to 525 matches the Rfam family "Bacterial small subunit ribosomal RNA", at positions 338 to 873 of the family's 1533-position model. The record is from RNAcentral.